CCUACGGGAGGCAGCAGUGAGGAAUAUUGGUCAAUGGACGAGAGUCUGAACCAGCCAAGUAGCGUGAAGGAUGACUGCCCUAUGGGUUGUAAACUUCUUUUAUAAAGGAAUAAAACGAGGCACGUGUGCCUUUUUGCAUGUACUUUAUGAAUAAGGAUCGGCUAACUCCGUGCCAGCAGCCGCGGUAAUACGGAGGAUCCGAGCGUUAUCCGGAUUUAUUGGGUUUAAAGGGAGCGUAGAUGGGUUGUUAAGUCAGUUGUGAAAGUUUGCGGCUCAACCGUAAAAUUGCAAUUGAUACUGGCAGUCGUGAGUACAGUUGAGGUAAGCGGAAUUCGUGGUGUAGCGGUGAAAUGCUUAGAUAGCACGAAGAACCCCGAUUGCGAAGGCAGCUUACUAAACUGUGACUGACAUUGAUGCUCGAAAGUGUGGGUAUCAAACAGGAUUAGAUACCCGGGUAGUC
This 460-nucleotide ribosomal RNA is filed under the name uncultured bacterium. RNAcentral's name for it is "partial 16S ribosomal RNA". It matches the Rfam family "Bacterial small subunit ribosomal RNA", at positions 338 to 795 of the family's 1533-position model. The record is from RNAcentral.